This 315-nucleotide ribosomal RNA is filed under the name uncultured eukaryote. RNAcentral's name for it is "partial 18S ribosomal RNA". It matches the Rfam family "Eukaryotic small subunit ribosomal RNA", at positions 1470 to 1796 of the family's 1831-position model. The record is from RNAcentral.
CCCUUAGACGUUCUGGGCCGCACGCGCGCUACACUGACCAGUGCAACAAGCAUCCGUCCUUGGCCGACAGGCCCGGGCAAUCUUUGAACGCUGGUCGUGAUGGGGAUAGACUUUUGCAAUUUUUGGUCUUCAACGAGGAAUUCCUAGUAAACGCAAGUCAUCAACUUGCAUUGAUUACGUCCCUGCCCUUUGUACACACCGCCCGUCGCACCUACCGAUUGAAUGGUCCGGUGAAGCCUCCGGAUUGGCGCGCACCUCGGUGCCGCCGAGAAGUUGGCUAAACCUUACCAUUUAGAGGAAGGUGAANUCGUANCA